Molecule: ribosomal RNA, 2245 nt
Filed under: Triticum aestivum (bread wheat)
Lineage: Eukaryota; Viridiplantae; Streptophyta; Magnoliopsida; Poales; Poaceae
Description: partial small subunit ribosomal RNA
Source: RNAcentral
AAGUCGGAGAAUCUGGUUUGACUCUCCCUCGCCGGCGGCCGGCGCCGUGCUCCCGCAGCGGCGCAGCCCCCGUGUCCAACUCCAACAUCUACGCCCCGUCGAGUCACGUGCCGUGCCCGCACGAGCACCUGCCCCUUAUCCCUGGCCGCGCUCCGCGCUACCGCGGCGAUCGGGCGUCCACUGCCCAGUCGCGCACCUUCCCUCGCCGUACGAAUAUGGCCCCUAUUCCCGCUCCUAUCGCGCGCCUCCCCCUCUUCCCUCGCCGUGUCCACACCCCCCCUCCCUCAUCCCCGACCAUCAGUACCGGCGGAGGCACGACACACCGCGCGCACGAGGACGCCGCAGCGGAUCGGAGGAGUGGAUCUGGGGGGAAGGGAGACGGCGCGGGGUAGCAGCACAUCACUCCGGAGCACGGGGCGACUGGCGCGGCGGGCGCCAUGGCUAAAAAGGGCACGGAUAAGGGGGCGUUCUUCACGGAGUACGGCGAGGCGACCCGGUACCAGGUCGGCGAAGUGGUCGGCAAAGGCAGCUACGGCGUUGUGGCGUCUGCCGUCGACACCCACACCGGCGAGCCCGUCGCCAUCAAAAAGAUCGACGACGUCUUCGAGCAUGUCGCCGACGCCACCCGCAUUCUCCGCGAGAUCAAGCUGCUCCGCCUUCUGCGCCAUCCAGACAUCGUCCAGAUCAAGCACAUCAUGCUCCCGCCGUCGCGCCGCGAGUUCCGUGACAUCUACAUUAUCUUCGAGCUCAUGGAGUCCGACCUCCACCAGGUCAUCAAGGCCAACGACGACCUCAGCCCGGAGAACCAUCAGUUCUUUUUCUACCAGCUGCUUCGUGGGAUGAAGUACAUACACGCUGCCAAUGUCUUCCACCGGGACCUCAAGCCCAAGAACAUUCUAGCCAAUGCAGAUUGCAAGCUCAAGAUUUGCGACUUCGGCCUUGCUCGGGUUUCCUUCAACGACACCCCUUCUGCGAUAUUCUGGACGGAUUAUGUAGCAACAAGGUGGUAUCGUGCUCCAGAAUUAUGUGGCUCCUUCUUUUCAAAGUAUACUCCUGCAAUUGAUAUUUGGAGCAUAGGAUGUAUAUUUGCCGAAAUGCUUACAGGGAGGCCGCUCUUUCCUGGCAAAAAUGUGGUACAUCAAUUGGAUCUCAUGACUGAUCUACUCGGCACUCCUUCGGCAGAAUCUAUUUCUAGGAUUCGAAACGAAAAAGCUCGGCGAUAUUUGGGAAACAUGAAAAAAAAGCAUCCAAUACCUUUUUCUCAGAAGUUUCCCGGUGUAGACCCCAUGGCACUCCAUUUGCUUGAGCGUCUUCUUGCUUUUGAUCCCACAGAUCGGCCAACCGCUGCAGAGGCCUUGGCAGACCCAUACUUUACUGGAUUGGCAAAUUCUGAGCUCGAACCCACAACGCAACCCAUCUCGAGACUUGAGUUUGAGUUUGAGAGAAGGAAGCUGGCCAGAGAGGAUGUACGUGAAUUAAUUUACAGAGAGAUUUUAGAGUACCAUCCUCAGAUGUUGCAUGAGUAUCUUCGUGGUGGAGAUCAGGCAAACUUUCUAUACCCAAGUGGGGUGGAUCGUUUCAAGAGGCAAUUUGUUCAUCUCGAAGAAAUCGGUGCUAAGGGUGAAAAGACUAGCCCGCAGCUGCGGCAGCAUGCUUCCUUACCAAGGGAAAGAGUUAUCGGCAGCAGUGAUGAGCCUGAAAAGCCAAAUGCAGAUUACUGUAUAAAAUUGCAUGUAGGUGAGGUACCAGGUCACACAUCGGUGACAGAUGGCCUUAACAAGCCACUGUUGAACACUCGAAACUUCUUGAAGAGCGAAAGCAUCGGUGCCUCCAAGUGCAUCGUCGUCAAAGAAAAGCGAGAAAAAGAUGAGGAAUCUAUGUCUGACUAUAUGCAUGAAGCAUGAAGAACAUCUGAUGAGGAACCGAAAAGGACUGCUCAACUCAAAAGUUUGUGAUGAUACAGGGGAGACAGAAGCACGUCCGAUCCAUGGGGGCUUCACUUCAGAAUCCCGAGCACACGAAUCAGAUCGAUGAACCACACUGAUGCCGGUGCCGGAUAGUCAUCUCAUUGGUUAGCAGAGCAUAGGAUUUAUUUCAAUUUUUUUGGGCGCAACUUUGAUCGAUGCUCCCAUUCAUGUAACUGGUAGAGUUUAGAAUGUAACCAACAGAGUGUAGAAUGUAACCAGCAUAUACUGGAGUAGAGUACAUGACUCGACUUCUUAUUACUCGUGCAAUGCUUUCUUAC